RNAcentral lists this long non-coding RNA (1170 nucleotides) under Gopherus evgoodei (Goodes thornscrub tortoise). RNAcentral's name for it is "lncRNA (ENSGEVG00005016401.1)". The record is from RNAcentral. Lineage: Eukaryota; Metazoa; Chordata; Testudines; Testudinidae.
GCUAAAGAAUCUAUUCUGUGCUUUCCUACCAUAUUGUUUAAUGAAGACGUAUUCCAUUGCUCUUGAAGAGGUUGUUAAUAGCUGGACAAACUGCAGGAACAAAAGCACCAAUGUCUCUGGCGUCAGCCAAAGCAUCCCUUUAAAAACUAAGUUCUCCGUACAGGUCUAAGUCGUAAGAGACAGCCCAGAACCUCAAAUUGCCAUCCUUAGCAUGGCAGCCCUGAGUUGCAUGGUCUGAGCACAGGACUGUGACCCAGAAAUGUAUUUUAAUCACAAAUCUAGGCAAGUAAUUUACAUUUUGCCACCAUUUUCUCUGUCUCUAAAAUGGGAAUAACAGCUACUUCACAUGCAUACUGGUAAGAAUAAUUACUGUUUGUGAAGCAUCAAAGAGGAAAAGCAUUUCAUAAGUUGAAGGAGAAACUGACUUCUGUACUUAGAGCUGCAAUAAACUUACGCUACUUUGACAUGGUUAAGAUUUUUGAGGUGUAUUUCCCAACAAAAUGUGUCUAGUUGUCUAUGUAUAGAUUUUGUUUGUUUGUCAGUAUACUGUCAUCUUAUGCCUCUGCUAUAGCCUAGGUUCAAAUUCAGUAGCAAACUUGCCCUCUCAUGUGGAGGGACAGUAAGAUAUUCAUUAAAAUGGAAUCAAGUAGUAGUGUAAUACGGAAGAUACUAACGUUACAGACUUCAGAUCAAGAAUAAUGGCAUUUAUAUCAGAGUACUAAGGAUUUUUUUUGCAUAUCUGAUGAAACCAGGGGGGUAUUUUUUCUAUCCCAACAUCAAACUUGCAUUUGCAUUGCAUGCUUGCAAUUUGACAUUUAUAUAGAGAAAUAAAACUGGAGAAGCAUAGAUGCUUUUUAAAGUGGUAUCUGCAACAUUCCACCAAACAGUACUUGUAACUUUUUUCCAGCAUUGAUACCCUUUACAAAACAGAUUUUUAAUUGUAACUUCUUACUCUUACAGUGAAUUCAUCUUAAAAGUGCUUUUUGCAGUACUAGUGUUAUGUUAAUAUUUUGCCUUAUUCACUAGGCUGCAUAUUUUAUAGCUGAAGUGGAGUAUGUACUUAAUGUAUUUGAAGUUGUUAGAAAAGAACAAAUCACACUUACAAUAUGCCAAUUCAUUGCCUUCAUUGUAAAUAAGCAAAUAAAGAUUUUAUUUAAAUGUGUUCAUUGU